GCAGAUAUAGCUCAGUGGUAGGGUACAGGUUUAGCAUGCAAAAGGUCCUGGGUUCAAUCCCCAGUAUCUCCA
Molecule: transfer RNA, 72 nt
Filed under: Camelus bactrianus (Bactrian camel)
Lineage: Eukaryota; Metazoa; Chordata; Mammalia; Artiodactyla; Camelidae
Also listed under: 2 other names
Rfam family: tRNA
About the family: Transfer RNA (tRNA) molecules are approximately 80 nucleotides in length. Their secondary structure includes four short double-helical elements and three loops (D, anti-codon, and T loops). Further hydrogen bonds mediate the characteristic L-shaped molecular structure. tRNAs have two regions of fundamental functional importance: the anti-codon, which is responsible for specific mRNA codon recognition, and the 3' end, to which the tRNAs corresponding amino acid is attached (by aminoacyl-tRNA synthetases). tRNAs cope with the degeneracy of the genetic code in two manners: having more than one tRNA (with a specific anti-codon) for a particular amino acid; and 'wobble' base-pairing, i.e. permitting non-standard base-pairing at the 3rd anti-codon position.
Source: Rfam by way of RNAcentral